UAGGGAAUCUUCCUCAAUGGACGCAAGUCUGAUGGAGCAACGCCGCGUGAGUGAAGAAGGCUUUCGGGUCGUAAAACUCUGUUGUUGGAGAAGAAUGGUCGGCAGAGUAACUGUUGUCGGCGUGACGGUAUCCAACCAGAAAGCCACGGCUAACUACGUGCCAGCAGCCGCGGUAAUACGUAGGUGGCAAGCGUUAUCCGGAUUUAUUGGGCGUAAAGCGAGCGCAGGCGGUUUUUUAAGUCUGAUGUGAAAGCCCUCGGCUUAACCGAGGAAGUGCAUCGGAAACUGGGAAACUUGAGUGCAGAAGAGGACAGUGGAACUCCAUGUGUAGCGGUGAAAUGCGUAGAUAUAUGGAAGAACACCAGUGGCGAAGGCGGCUGUCUGGUCUGUAACUGACGCUGAGGCUCGAAAGCAUGGGUAGCGAACAGGAUUAGAUACCCUGGUAGUCCAUGCCGUAAACGAUGAAUGCUAGGUGUUGGA
This 480-nucleotide ribosomal RNA is filed under the name uncultured bacterium. Its description in RNAcentral is "partial 16S ribosomal RNA". It matches the Rfam family "Bacterial small subunit ribosomal RNA", at positions 355 to 827 of the family's 1533-position model. The record is from RNAcentral.